CCGAGUGCUAUUCAAUCUUGG
Molecule: non-coding RNA, 21 nt
Filed under: Arabidopsis thaliana (thale cress)
Lineage: Eukaryota; Viridiplantae; Streptophyta; Magnoliopsida; Brassicales; Brassicaceae
Source: RNAcentral